RNAcentral lists this ribosomal RNA (253 nucleotides) under uncultured bacterium. RNAcentral's name for it is "partial 16S ribosomal RNA". It matches the Rfam family "Bacterial small subunit ribosomal RNA", at positions 524 to 776 of the family's 1533-position model. The record is from RNAcentral.
UACGUAGGGUGCAAGCGUUAAUCGGAAUUACUGGGCGUAAAGCGUGCGCAGGCGGUGAUGUAAGACAGAUGUGAAAUCCCCGGGCUCAACCUGGGAACUGCAUUUGUGACUGCAUCGCUGGAGUGCGGCAGAGGGGGAUGGAAUUCCGCGUGUAGCAGUGAAAUGCGUAGAUAUGCGGAGGAACGCCGAUGGCGAAGGCAAUCCCCUGGGCCUGCACUGACGCUCAUGCACGAAAGCGUGGGGAGCAAACAGG